UUUCCGUAGGUGAACCAGCGGAAGGAUCAUUAUCGUACAAAAUGUGAGGGGCAUGCGAGGGCUGUCGCUGACCCAAAAGUCGUGCACGCCCGAGUGUGUCCUCUUGCAUAAUAAUCCAUCUCACCCUUUGUGCAUCACCGCGUGGGCACCCUUCGGGAUCAUCUCGGAGGGGGGCUCACGUUUUCACACAAACCCCCCUUUUAAAAGUGUAGAAUGACCACAUUUAUGCAAUCAAUACAACUUUCAACAACGGAUCUCUUGGCUCUC
RNAcentral lists this unclassified non-coding RNA (267 nucleotides) under plant metagenome. Its description in RNAcentral is "partial contains small subunit ribosomal RNA, internal transcribed spacer 1, and 5.8S ribosomal RNA". The record is from RNAcentral.